UUAACUGCCUCCUUCGCUCCUCGAAACAGCAAAAGUUAUCUACCUCUGGCGCAACGAAUUCUUUACAUAAAGAAAACCUGAGGUUGAUAUUUUUCAAAUAAUUUGCUUGCGAGAAGAAAUGUUUACAAAUAAUCAGAGGCAAGAACAACGAACUGGAAAAUGUGGAACCCCAAAGCUCAAAUAUCUUCAGGUUUUCCUUCUUCUUUUUAAUUUUUAAGUCACAUUAUUGUUUAUCUUGUUGUUUUAGUUCAAAAUUUCCAUUUUUUCUAUCAUCAUUACAGGAAUUGGUGAGUCAAUUUCAAAAUACAACUAAUGAAGGUAUGCUCGUAUUAUUAUUAUUAUUGGAUUGAAUUGCCUCCAAACUAUAUUUUAUCUGCAUCCGGAGAAUUAGAAUUCAAAUGCAACUAUAUAUAUAUUAACAGUGUGGAAUAUUUUAUGUAAAUGUGAUUUUUGAAUUAAAUAAAGUUUGGACAAUUUGAGAGUUUGUGGGAUCAACUUAAAUUUGAAAUGAAACAACAAGAAUCUACUCUUAGGUUUGCCUAAAUUUGAACUUUAAUUCACAGGCACACCGAGUUUCAGGUUUUUUAAAUGUAUGAUGCAAUGGUCUUCCUGUGAUAGCAUCCGACUGUCCUGUUUCAAUCUUUUAAUUUGUCCUUUUCCCUGUUCGACAGUUAAUUUUUUUUCCCACUUAGAAUCCUCAAUUUUGAAAUUUUAUGAAUGGUUUGUUCUUGCGGUUGCAGAAACCAAAGAGAGGAUUGUUGCUAACUUGGCAAAUUUUAUCCUUUCAAUACAUUUAUGUUGUUGGAAUUAUUUUGCAAUGAAUGUGAACUGGGCUGUCUGUCUCUUACAUAUUCUGUCCCACCUAAAUAUCUUUUGUAUGUGGUGUUUGAUCAGCUCAAUGUUUUGGAACUCUUCCUAGAUUGCAUAACAAAACCAAAUUAGAAGCUUGUAAAAUUUGGGAAUAGGGAUGUAUGCAAUUCUUGUUCUGGUAAGUCGAACAAUGUAAACGUUUUAGCUCUUGAAGAAGUUAAUAGUGAUGACAAUAUUUCUUUCUUCGCUGUCAAUAUAUUUGUCAUUCAAUGUGGUGUUAUACCCCUUAUCAUCCAAGGUUUAUCAAGCCCAGGUAGAAACACAGGAAGCGUGUGUUCCUUUGGUUUUUACCUUAUUAUCUUGAAACUUUACUCUCAAAACCUGAAUAUUGGAUCUUAAGAGGAGAAUGCAGCUAAUUGUAGGUUUGUUUUUAUAAUUCCUAGAAACAAGAAACGGGAUAUUUUUAAGAAAGUAAAAUCUUUCUCAUGACCCUUGAUCAACAACUUCAUAAUUGAAUUACAAGUCAAUUGACAAUUAGUAAAUAUUUAAGGCAAGUGAUAUGCAUUUCUAGUCUUAAUAAAUUUCAUAAUAAACCAUACAAACCAUUAGAAUACAGUUGCUACUGCUACUGCUACUGCAUGAUUUUAUUAUACAAGGCCACUACUUCCACAUAUAUCAGAUAGACACAAACCAACAUUAGUUCUAAUUCCCACAUAGCAGUAGCUUUCCUAAUUUAUAAGAGUAGUAGGCAUCAACACAUGCAUACUUCACUUGAGCAUGAGUAAGCUGCUUAGCAUCCCAAUUACUCAAGGUGACAUACUUUGGCUUCUCCAACUCUUCCCCAAUAAUUGUCUCCACCAAUGUUUUUAACCCUGCUCUCUUGAAUUCUUUGUGAUCAAACUCGUGCGCAGAUAGAUCUGCAAUAUCUGCAAUGAACGAUAUCUCCAAAUCAUAGUCCUUGGAAAGCUUCUUUGCAUCCCCGGAUAUACGAACUCCAGUAUAGAUUAUAUUAGGAUUAAGGAGGGCUUUGUAGAGGGAUCGAGGAAUGCAUGUAGCUUGGUAGAUUUGAAAGAUAAGGCAGCAUUUGCUGAUGCAGAGUUGGAGUAUUCCUACUGGGUUUUGAGCCCCACCACGUAUGAAGGUUGGACGCCAUUCAAUGUCAAGGCCAACAAUUUUCUGGUGAUGGUGACAUGGAGCUUGGAGGUGGUCUUUGAUCCAUCUAUCUACCACCGUCCUUGAGGAGGUUACUGUGGCUUGGACUAUGCGGUGGUGAAUAGUGACUUCGUACAAUUUCUGUGUUUUAGUUCGAGAGUGAAGUUCUUCAAUGGUGACACCCAUGUCUUACAGACAACAGGAGAUUGGAGUUGGUGAAGUUGAAGAGAGUUAGAAGUGGUAAUUUAAAGCGUAAAGUGGCAAUCCAAUAAUGGAAGUAAAGAAGUGUCUUUAGUUGAAUAGGACAUCAAAGUAGCAAUAAUGGAGCCGUAGAAAGCAGAGAUGACUCAGAUGAGGGUACCCACUGAAGCAAAGUAUAAGUUCAGCAACAACUUCAACGGUAAGGAAUACAGAGAUGUACAAAACGAUAUGAGAAAAUGGACAAAGCUUUUCAAGGCAUGGCUUUACUUGGUUACUAUCAUAUAUACAUGAACUUUUUACUGUAAAUGAGUCAGAAAUUCUUAAAGAAAGAGAGAGAGCUGUCAAGCUUUCAAACCUUUAACCUUUCGCAUUAUGAAAGGUUAGUGUAUUACUAUCUUAAUGGCAUUAAAGAGCCAAGAAAAUCACUUUCAAAAGAAUAAAGAAAAAAAGAAACGGGGAAUUUUUUUUUUCACUUUUUGGCUUCUUGCAAUAAUCUACUUCCUUUUGUUGUUGUGGCUGUGCUUUUUUUCCCCAAUAGCUUAUCCAAUUAUAAAUGAAUUUAAUAAAAUUUUACAAAAUUAGUUGCUCAAAAAACAUUUCAUACAACAUGUUUAUAAAAAGGAAUUCAGCUAAGUCAACAUAAAUUCCCUUCCUGUUUACAACUUCUCUUUCUGUUAAUUACCAACCAAAAUAUUUGAUAAGAAUAUUUAAUCUUUUGCAUGCACUGAAGCGAUGGCAGAUUUUUCAAUUAAAUUCUUUUUUCUUUUUUUCUUAAGAAAAAGAUGUCAAAUACAUACACAGUACUUCACAUUAGCAACAUUAGUAACAUUCAUAGAAAAAUAGAUACUAAAAGAAAAAACAUUACAAACAUAAAACUAUUUGUGGAAAAAAAAGUACAGUAAGGACUCAAGCUUCACAAAACAGAAAACAUGAAUUUAUGCAUAUGGUCUGCCAUUAAUUUAGCAUCUUAUGAUUCAUUUGAAUUUGCAUUUGCAUCAGGUUAUCAUCAACCUUGUAAACCUGCAAUCAUAAAAAUAAAAAGAAAUUGGAGUUCUAAUUAGUUAUCUAGCUUCACUUCGACAAUCAUAUAGUUGAAGUAUCCAUGAAAUUAUAUCAUCUAAAAAUGUUAUAUGCUUGAUGUUCUAUUUUUAUUUUAAAAAGAGAGUUAACUUUAUUUACCUGCCACUUGAAGUUCAUUUCUAAUUUCUCCCUUCUAAAAAUUUUUUUCUGACAGAAGAGAGCUGAGCAAUAACAUCAUCAACUUUCAUGCGCUCUUGUGGAAAUUCAACCGAACAAGAGAUUCCAAUUUCAAGUAUUGAAAUCAAACACUCGGUCAGUAUAUUAUUUCUCCUUGUAAAAUUGUGAUUAUGGUUUGGAGUUGCAUCCACAUUGAGUUGCAUAUUAAGAAGGUUGAGAUCUAUAACUUGAGUCACAUGUUCAGGCAAAGCUUUUUUAACAAAAUUGUGAAGGUUGAAACUCUCUUUGAACAUAUCAUCAGUGGGUCUCUUUCCUGUAAACAUCUCUAACAAGAGAACGCCAAAGCUAAAUAUGUCACCUGAUGUUGAUACUUCGCUUCCCACACCAUACUCUAGAAUACAUACAGAUUAAGAUAAGUUAGGUUAGAAAUUUUGAAUAAAACAUUUUGAACAAUCCAUAGAUUUGGCAUAACAAAAAUAGGUGCAAUUACCUGGAGGACAAUAACCAAAAGUUCCUCUUAAUCCAAGAGAGCUAAACUGAUUUGCAGAAUCUAUCAUGUCAUUAGAAAGGAACUUCACCAACCCAAAGUCACUUACAUGUGCUGUCAUUUCUUGAUCAAGGAGGAUGUUGUUUGGUUUUAGAUCACAAUGAACAAUUGGAACUCCACAAUGAACAUGAAGAUACUCAAGCGCACAAGCGACAUCAAUGGCAAUGUUAAGUCUUUGAAGAACAUUUAAAGUCCUUGGGACUUCAUCUGGUCUGAGAAUUGGAUGCAACCAAUGAUCUAGGCUCCCAUUGUUCAUGAAUUCAUAGACCAAAGCUUUGAAAUCAUUACCCUGAUAAUCGACACUUGAACAAGCUGUAAGUACUUUGACAAGAUUUCGAUGUCUGAUGUUCCUUAUAGCUGCACAUUCUGCUAUAAAACUCUUUAACGCUCCUUGACGAUGAAGGUUGAGCACCUUUACUGCAAUAACAAUUCCCUCAGGAUUGAGAAUUCCUUUAUAAACAGACCCAAAGCUACCUGUGCCAAUCAAGUUAUUUGAAGAGAAUCCAUCAGUGGCUUUAAGGAGACUUUGAUAAGACAAGUUCAAAAGUGCAUUGCCAAAAGAUGUCGAUGCAGAGCCUUCCUUUUUCUUCUUUGAGUAGCAAAGAAAUAAAUAAGUGAGCACAAGUGCUGCACUUAUAGCCACAGAAAGUGUAGAGAUUAUUAUCUUCAAUUUUAUGGUGAUUCUCUUGUUUGGUUUUUCAGAUUUGCAUGCAGGUAGCCCAAAAUCAGGUAUGCCGCCACAAAGCCUUUGAUUUCCUGCUACUGAUGUUGCACUUGCAUUCUUGAAAAUACCUUCUGUUGGCACCUUACCUUCAAAAUCAUUAUAAGAUAGGUUCAGAGUCGUUAUUGAAUUGAAUGCCUUUAGAAACUCCGGAAUCUUUCCUGACAAAUUGUUGUGAGAAACAUCCAAUUCUACAAUGCCUCUUAAUGAACUUAAAGAUGAAGGAAUGGAACCUUCGAAGUUAUUUUUGCUUAUGGCUAGAAGCUCUAGAAGGACACAACUGCCAAGACUAGUUGGAAUAUUACCUGAUAACAUGUUAUUAUCAAGGUUUAGGAUUUGAAGAUUUUUCAAAUUUCCUACUUCAUUGGGAAGGCUACCUGUCAAGUGAUUUUCAAACAAUCCAAAAUAUAUUGAUAGUGAAGAAAGUUGAAAAACUUCUGGAGGUAUGGAACCACUAAGGUUGUUUCUACCAAGAUUAAUCACAAUUAAGUUUUGGCAAUUGGCUAGACUCGAAGGGAUGAUGCCCUGAAGAUUAUUGCGAGACAAAUCAACUUGAAACAACUUUGUCAAGUUCCCAAUAGAAGAUGGAAUACUUCCUGUGAAUUCAUUAAAUUCAAGAAAAAGUAUUUCUAGAUUUUGAAGCUUUCCUAUUGUAUAAGGAAUGGUACCCGAUAAUCUGUUGAAUGCUGCAGAAAAAUCUUGCAAGCUUUCAAGAUAAAAUAUUCCAGAUGGGAUAUUUCCAAAUAUUUGGUUUUCUUCUGCAAUAAAACUGCCAAGCUUUUUGGAAAAAUUUCCAAUCUCUUGAGGUAGCUGUCCUCCAAAGUUGUUGUUGCUUAUGGCUAUGUAUUCUAGAUGGGAGGCAUUAGUCAAAGUGGUAAGAAAUUUCAAGUCAUCAUCGUUAACAUUCCCAGCUGCACUACCUCCUAAAUGGUUGUAUGCAAUAUUUAAGCUUUGUCCUGUUAUAAUCUUCUAUAUUUGUUAGGACAUGUUCUUUGUAUGUAACCAACUAAUUCCAUUUAGAUAUAUUGGGUAGGUGAUUGGAAAAGAAAAAGUUCCUUUACAUGCUACCGUAUAUUAAACUAAUAUCUUAAACAUUUCAGGAAUAGAUUUGCUUUCUGGGAGAUGUCUCCGGCGUCAAAAUCGAAGUCCAAGGACAAAAAGGCUGGCAAAGAACCCCAGAAGGCUUCAUCAAAGCCUUCUGGACCUGCUAAUGCAGGUAGUGGUAUUCCAGCUAGUGCAUACAAUCCACUUUCUGGGACAUUUCAUGCUCUUGAAUCAGUGCCAACAUCCUCUGCUUCAUCUGUGCACGCUAAUGGUCGUUUCCGCAACAUAGAUGACACAGAUGAUCACUUUAGUGGUUCACUUGGAGCUGGGGUCGAGUAUGAUUCUGUUUCAAAUAAUGGCAGCUGGUCUGGUGAGUCAGAAGAUCAUAAAGAUAAAAAUCCUCCUGUUCGGCAGGAAACCAUACCAGGGGCUGACAAUGACAAGCGGGAAAAAAUCCGCCAGAAGAAUGAAAGGAAGCAUCAACGUCAAAAGGAGAAGCGAGCCCAGGAAUUGCAUGAGCGGUGUAGUGGCUAUCUGAUGUCGAGAAAGCUAGAAGCACUUGCUCAGCAGCUUGUUGCAAUGGGAUUUCCACAUGAGCGGGCGACAAUGGCUUUAAUAUUAAAUGAAGGCAAAGUAGAAGAAUCUGUUUCAUGGCUAUUUGAAGGGGGUGAAGAUGGAGAUAAGAACUGGGAUCAAAACCUUGGAGGGGGUAAUUUGAAAAUUGAUAUAUCAGAAGAGCUUGCUCGAAUGGCUGACAUGGAAUUGAGAUACAAGUGCACCAAGCAGGAGGUUGAAAGAGCCGUGGUUGGCUCUGAAGGUGAUCUUGACAAGGCAGCAGAAAGUUUAAGAGAACUGAAGUUAGAUCCACCUUCUGCUCCCCCAAAGCCUGAGGAAACUGGUGAUCCUCCAACAGUUAGCAAUGGCAAACUUUCAGUUGCAGUUAGCCAGAAUAUGGUGAGACAACAACAGCAACAACAAAAACCCAAUCCACCUUCAUUGUUACAACAAAGGAGAGAUGACAGGGAGUUUAAUUACACAAAGACUGUUCCAGUGGCAGGGCCUCCUGAAUCUGGGAGUAAAAAUCUGCAGCCUUUGAAGAGAAUACAACCAAAGAUGGAGUGGGCAAAACCUCAGCAAAUGGCAUUCCCCGCCGAGAAAAGGUGGCCAAGUACAGGAUCAAGUCCUUCUGUUUCUUAUUCUUUGGCAUCGCCUUUACAAGUCUCACCUCCACCAGCUAAGACGACAGAAGCACGUUUUGUAGCUGUUGGAAAUGAUUAUAAGAAUCUUCAACCUGGAACAGUUAGGGAACCAGUGAUUAUGAUGCAAAGACCUCAAUCUGUGAAUACAAAGCAGGUUCCAGCUUCUAGCAUAAGCUCAUCUCCUCCUGGAACAGCUACCAGUUGGUAUCCUACAAAUGGUGUUGAUGCCAUCAAGUCUAAUGGCUUGAUGCAUCACAUUCCCACCACAAGAAGCCUUAGCCCUAAUAAUCUGAAUUCAAAUCAGAUGUUCCACCAACUUCAUUAUCAGCAACCGCAACACUUCGUUCCUGGCAGUGGUCCUGGGGAUUCUCCUGGAACCAGCAGAGGAAAUGGCUUAUGGAGUAGAACAGGUGCAUCAUCUACACUUGCUGCUGCUUCAUCGCUUGGACUCUUCUCUGGUUUGGGUGGAUCAGCUGGUUCAUCAGGGGCCUCUUCUCCAGUUGACUGGAGCACGGCGGGCUCAAUGGCUCAGUUGGACUACACUAGCAUAGACUGGAGUUUGGAUCGAGGUUUAGUCUCUCCAAGGCCUAGCGGAUUGUGGCUGGGGCCUGGAUCUUUUAAGAACAGCACCCAAAUGUAUGAUUCAAGUUCGUCUAGCUUGGGUGCUAAGCUGGCAAUGAGAACAGCUGCAACUGGGAAUGGUGUACGCAUUCCAGGAUUGCAGGAUGGUGGAGUUGCUAAUUCAGAAACAUCUGGUACUGGUUCUCAAGAAUGGACGUCGCCAUUCGAAGGGAAAGAUCUCUUUAGUUUACCCAGACAGUUUGUUUCAUCUCCUUCACUGUAGGGUGGAGGGGAAUGAUUUCAAUGAAUAAAAUGCAAAAAGAAAAAAGACCCGAAAAAUGUGUUGAAUUUGAUGUUGGUGUUGGUUCAUAUGAUGCUUCUCUAUUGAUUUUUGGUGAAUAUCCUUAUAGUGAAGAAGAAAAAAAAAAUGGCAUCCAAAGUCCUCUGCUUGGUACUCUUUUCUUUUACAUUACAUGCGAUUUGGUUGGAGAAAUUAGGACAAAAGAAUGGAAAGGUUAGCGAUGGAGGGAGUAGGAAGGAAUGAAAGUCCCAGAUGAAGUCCUACUUUCCAUUCAUUGUCCGUUCUUCAACACUUGUCAAAUAAAUGGAUGGAAAAUAAUUUUGUAAUUUAUAAUAACCAAAUCCACCGCAACAGCCGCCAUGAAAACCUACCUCCAUUCCAGCAGACUCUGUCUUGUAGGUUGUAUUCUUCCAAAUUCCCAAUUUAAUUCAAUACCCUCAAUGCUCCUUCUCACCUUAAUAAAGCUCGACAAUUCCAUCUCUAAAUCGACGCAUGCAAGCAGCUUGAUUUGAAAAUUCAGCUAAAAACGCUAAAAAUAAAUCUGACAGGGUGUCUCUCUAUCCGUCUCUAAAAGGAAAGAGAGGUGAAAGAAAUCCUAAACCAUGACUAUGUGCUUACGUUUGUUUUCUUUUUGCUUCAGUUGAGAAAUAACCUGUAAGAAUUAGGUUUUGAAAUCCCCAAAGUGAAACAAGCAAGCUUCGAAGCAGAGAUAGAAAAGAGGCACGCAACGAAGGAGUUGAAGAAGGAACCAAAAAAGUUCAUAUAUGAUUAUAAAUUGUAAUUUGAUAACCGUGUGAUUAAAAACUAUUCUUAAAUCCUCACCUAUAUCAACGGCAAAGUCUCUGUAAAAGGGUCCUUCAAACUACAGGUUUUGUUAUUAAAUUCAAUUUUUUGAUAAUAUAAUUGUUUGCUUGCUUCUAAUUACGACGGAGGAUGACCAUAAGGAUCACGACCUACACCGACACAUUUCCAUGGCCGCGGUCGCUGCCGCCACCACCAUUCCGAUCAAAAGCUAAGCAAACGAUGCUAAUUUUGCUUUCCCCGAGGCACUGCCAUUGCUGAACCCUUCUCUUCCUCUCUCUCUAAUUGCGGUCGUAGCAAUUCACUGCCUCCUUCGCUCCUCGAAACAGCAAAAGUUAUCCACCACUGGCGCAAGAAUUCUUUACAUAAAGAAAAACUGAGGUUGACAUUUUUCAAAUAAUUUGCUUGGGAGAAGAAAUGUUUACAAAUAAUCAGAGGCAAGAACAACGAACUGGAAAAUGCGGAACCCCAAAGCUCAAACAUCUUCAGGUUCUCCUUUUUCUUUUUAAUUUUUAAGUCACAUUAUUGUUUAUCUUGUUGUUUUAGUUCAAAAUUUCCAUUUUUUCUAUCAUCAUUACAGGAAUUGGUGAGCCAAUUUCAAAAUACAACUAAUGAAGGUAUGCUCGCAUUAUUAUUAUUAUUAUUAUUUUUGGGUUGAAUUGCCUCCAAACUAUAUUUUAUCUGCACCCGGAGAAUUAGAAUUUAAAUUCAACUAUAUAUGUAUUAACAGUGUGGAAUAUUGAAUGUAAAUGUGAUUUUUGAAUUAAAUAAAGUUUUGACAAUUUGAGAGUUUGUGGGAUCAACUUAAAUUUGAAAUGAAACAAUAAGAAUCUCCUCUUAGGUUUGGCCUAAAUUUGAACUUUAAUUCACAGUCACACCGAGUUUCAGGUUUUUUAAAUGUAUGAUGCAAUGGUCUUCCUGUGAUAGCAUCCGACUGUCCUGUUUCAAUCUUUUAAUUUAUCCUUUCUCCCUGUUCGACAGUUAAUUUUUUUUUUCCCACUUAGAAUCCUCAUUUUUUAAAUUUUGUGAAUGGUUUGUUCUUGUGGUUGCAGAAACCAAAGAGAGGAUUGUUGCUAACUUGGCAAAUUUUAUCCUUACAGUACAUUUAUGGUGUUGGAAUUAUUUUGCAAUGAAUGUGAACUGGGCUGUCUGUCUCUUACAUAUUCUGCCCCACCUAAAUAUCUUUUGUAUGUGGUGUUUGAUCAGCUCAAUGUUUUGGAACUCUUCCUAGAUUGCAUAACAAAACCAAAUUAGAAGCUUGUAAAUUUGGGAUUAGGGAUGUAUGCAAUUCUUGUUCUGGUAAGUCAAACAAUGUAAAAGUUUAGCUCUUGAAGAAGUUAAUAGUGAUGACAAUAUUUCUUUCUUCAAGCUGUCAAUAUAUUUGUCAUUCAAUGUGGUGUUAUACCCCUUAUCAUCGAAGGUUUAUCAAGCCCAGGUAGAAACACAGGAAGCGUGUGUUCCUUUGGUUUUUACCUUAUUAUCUUGAAACUUUACUCUCAAAACCUGAAUAUUGGAUCUUAAGAGGAGAAUGCAGCUAAUUGUAGGUUUGUUUUUAUAAUUUCUUAGAAACAAGAAACUGGAUAUUUUUAAGAAAGUAAAAUCUUUCUCGUGACCCUUGAUCAACAACUUCAUAAUUGAAUUACAAGGCAAUUGACAAUUAGUAAAUAUUAAAGGCAAGUGACAUGCAUUUCUAGUCUUAAUAAAUUUCAUAAUAAACCAUACAAACCAUUAGAAUACAGUUGCUGCUGCUACUGCUAUUGCAUGAUUUUAUUAUACAAGGCCUCUACUUCCACAUAUAUCAGAUAGACACAAACCAACAUUAGUUCUAAUUCUCACAUAGCAGUAGCUUUCCUAAUUUAUAAGAGUAGUAGGCAUCAACACAUGCAUACUUCACUUGAGCAUGAGUAAGCUGCUUAGCAUCCCAAUUACUCAAGGUUACAUACUUUGGCUUCUCUAACUCUUCCCCAGUUAUUGUCUCCACCAAUGUUUUCCACCCUGCUUUCUUGAAUUCUUUGUGAUCAAACUCGUCAGAUAGAUCUGCAACAUCUGCAAUGCACGAUAUCUCCAAGUCAUAGUACUUGGAAUGCAUGUAGCAUGGUAGAUUUGAAAGAUAGGGCAGCAUUUGCUGAUGCAGAGUUGGAGUAUUCCUACUGGGUUUUGAGCCCCACCACGUGUGAAGGUUGGACGCCAUUCAAUGUGGUGGCGGCGUGGAGCUUGGAGGUGGUCUUUGAUCCAUCUACCUGCCACCGUACUUGAGGAGGUCACUAUGGCUUGGACUAUGCGGUGGUGAAUAGAGACUUUGUGCAAUUUCUGGGUUUUAGUUCGAGAAAUGGUGACACCCAUGUCUUACAGACAACAGGAGAUUG
RNAcentral lists this long non-coding RNA (10900 nucleotides) under Jatropha curcas. Its description in RNAcentral is "long non-coding RNA (JCUR_LNC001776)". The record is from RNAcentral. Lineage: Eukaryota; Viridiplantae; Streptophyta; Magnoliopsida; Malpighiales; Euphorbiaceae.